RNAcentral lists this ribosomal RNA (387 nucleotides) under uncultured bacterium. RNAcentral's name for it is "bacterial SSU rRNA". It matches the Rfam family "Bacterial small subunit ribosomal RNA", at positions 414 to 793 of the family's 1533-position model. The record is from RNAcentral.
GAUUUCGGAUUGUAAACCACUGUUGUAAGGGAAGAACGUUAUUAGUAGGAAAUGGCUAAUAAGUGACGGUACCUUACCAGAAAGGGACGGCUAACUACGUGCCAGCAGCCGCGGUAAUACGUAGGUCCCGAGCGUUAUCCGGAAUUAUUGGGCGUAAAGGGCACGUAGGCGGACAAAUAAGUUUGAUGUCAAAUAUGAUGGCUCAACCAUCAAGAGGCGUUGAAAACUGUUUAUCUAGAAUCUCGGAGAGGUAAGUGGAAUUCCAUGUGUAGCGGUGGAAUGCGUAGAUAUAUGGAGGAACACCAAUGGCGAAGGCAGCUUACUGGACGAAGAUUGACGCUGAGGUGCGAAAGCGUGGGUAGCAAACAGGAUUAGAUACCCUGGUAG